GCUGGAUAUAGUGGUGAACUCUUUGCCUGUGGGGAGCCUGAGGCUGGCAGAUCCCUUGAGCUCAGGUGUUCUGGGCUGCAGUGGUCUAUCUAUACUAAUCGAGAGUCUGCACUAAGUCUGCCAUCAAUAUGGUCUAGGAGUGAGGCACCUGGUUGCCUAAGAAGUGGUGAACCAGACCACAGUGGAAAUGGAACAGGUUAAAGCUCCCAUGACAAUCAUCUGUGGGAUAGGGCCUGUGAGUAGACCUUGUACUUCCAAAAUAAGUGAAAUAGGGAAAGGCAGUCUUU
RNAcentral lists this non-coding RNA (287 nucleotides) under Phascolarctos cinereus (koala). The record is from RNAcentral. Lineage: Eukaryota; Metazoa; Chordata; Mammalia; Diprotodontia; Phascolarctidae.